RNAcentral lists this ribosomal RNA (404 nucleotides) under uncultured fungus. Its description in RNAcentral is "eukaryotic LSU rRNA". The stretch from base 1 to 113 matches the Rfam family "5.8S ribosomal RNA", at positions 42 to 154 of the family's 154-position model. The record is from RNAcentral. Lineage: Eukaryota; Fungi.
AACGCAGCGAAGGGCGAUACGUAAUGUGAAUUGCAGAAUUCAGUGAAUCAUCGAAUCUUUGAACGCACCUUGCGCCCCUUGGCAUUCCGAGGGGCACACCCGUUUGAGUGUCGUGAAAUUCUCAAAAACCCCUUCCUUUGGUGGAGAGGAUUUUGGACUUGGAGGUCUUUUUGCUGGUUUCACCUUGAAGCGAGCUCCUCCCAAAUGGAUUGGUGGGGGUCUGCUUUGCCGAUCCUUGACGUGAUAAUAUGUUUCUACGUCUUGGGUUUUUUGCACUGUACCUCUGCUUCUAACCGUCUCAUUGACAACGAUGGUGUUCCGGUCACCGCCGAUUCAUCGGUGGGAGGCUUGACCCACAAAACGACCUUGACCUCAAAUCGGGUGGGACUACCCGCCGAACUUAA